Molecule: small nuclear RNA, 99 nt
Filed under: Vombatus ursinus (common wombat)
Lineage: Eukaryota; Metazoa; Chordata; Mammalia; Diprotodontia; Vombatidae
Source: RNAcentral
GUGCUUGCUUCGGCAACACAUAUACUAAAACUGGAAUGACGCAGAGAAGAGCAGCAUGGCCCCUGAGCAAGGAGGGCAUGCACAUUUAUGAAUAUUUUU